Molecule: ribosomal RNA, 1398 nt
Filed under: Triticum aestivum (bread wheat)
Lineage: Eukaryota; Viridiplantae; Streptophyta; Magnoliopsida; Poales; Poaceae
Description: partial small subunit ribosomal RNA
Source: RNAcentral
AUGGCGGCGGUAGUGGUGCGCCGCCGCCUCGCCCUCGCCGGCGCCCCUCUUCUUCCCACCUACCGCCAGCUCGCCGCCGCCGCCAUCCCCAUCCCCAUCCCCAAGGUGAAUGAGGACGAGCAUUCGGGUGCUUUCCUGCGGUGGCUGCGGAGCAAGGCGGGGUCCGGCAUCUCGUCGGUGCUGCGCAUCGGGACCUCGCCCUUGGGAAGGUCCUUGUUCGCUUCGCAGCCCAUCCAGGAGGGGGACUGCAUACUGCAACUGCCUCACACUGCUCAGCUUACUCAAGAUAAACUUCCUCGAGAGGUCCGCCUGUUGCUCGACGACGAUGCUGCUGUUGCGGGAGACACAGCGGCCAAUGUAGCCGUGCUCCUUAUGAUGGAGCAGCGACUGGGACAUGAAUCGGGAUGGGCGCCGUAUGUUAUAUCUCUUCCGGCCAAGGAUCAGAUGCACAACAUGAUGUUCUGGGAUCUGGAUGAGCUUGAUAUGGUCCGACAUAGCCCGGUCUAUGAUGAAGCCAUCAAACAGAAGGAACAAGUCAGGAAACAAUUUUCAGCAGCAAAACCAGCUCUUGAACAUUUUCCACAUUUGUUUGAAGAAAUCAAGCUGGAGGAUUUCAUGCAUUCUUCUGCAUUGGUUUCAUCUCGAGCUUGGCAGACUUCUAGAGGUGUAUCACUGGUUCCAUUUGCAGAUUUCCUUAACCAUGAUGGUGCUUCUGAUUCUAUAUUAGUGUAUGAUGAAGAGAAAGCUGUUUCAGAGGUCAUUGCCGACAGGAAUUAUGCUGUUGGUGAACAGGUCAUGAUAAGAUAUGGGAAAUACUCGAAUGCCAUGCUAGCACUUAAUUUCGGAUUUACACUUUCCAGAAACAUAUAUGACCAGGCACAUAUUUGGAUAGAUAUGUCAGAGCAAGAUCCACUUUAUAAAAAGAAGCUUGACAUAUGGGAAAAGCACCGUACUCCAAAAUCUCAACACAUGUGCAGCUCUGGCUGCGCUAGAACUUCUUUUGCUAUAAAGGAAGUCAAAUACUCUGGAAACAAAGGGGUUGGGAUUCCACAGGCCUUGCGUGCAUUUGUUCGGAUUUUCUGUGCCACCUCAAUUGAAGAAUUGGAAGAGAUGGCCGUGGAGGCUGCUGAAAAUGAUGGCCGGCUUGCGAGGCGUCCUCUGAAGCAUGCGGAGAGAGAAGUCCAUGCUCACCGCAAGUUGCUUCUGCACCUCGACAACAUGAUUCAGGGUCAUUCUACAGCUAUUGAGCAACUUGAAACCAUUGAUGGCGCUGCAUCUAGGAGCAUGCAUCCGUUCAGAAAAGAGAUGGCUAAAAAUUUACUUGCCGGCGAGCUACAGAUUUUGCAGAGUGCUUAUGCAUGGGUUGCAAACUACUGUAAAACUGUGGCAUGUACAUGA